RNAcentral lists this ribosomal RNA (1380 nucleotides) under uncultured bacterium. Its description in RNAcentral is "bacterial SSU rRNA". It matches the Rfam family "Bacterial small subunit ribosomal RNA", at positions 27 to 1396 of the family's 1533-position model. The record is from RNAcentral.
GAUUGAACGCUGGCGGUAUGCUUAACACAUGCAAGUCGAACGGAAACGAUACUAGCUUGCUAGUAGGCGUCGAGUGGCGGACGGGUGAGUAACGCGUAGGAAUCUGCCUGAUAGUGGGGGAUAGCCCGAAGAAAUUCGGAUUAAUACCGCAUAAUCUAUUCGUAGUAAAGUGGGGGACUUUCGAGCCUCACGCUAUCAGAUGAGCCUGCGUAAGAUUAGCUUGUUGGUAGGGUAAAAGCCUACCAAGGCGACGAUCUUUAGCUGGUCUGAGAGGAUGAUCAGCCACAUCGGGACUGAGACACGGCCCGAACUCCUACGGGAGGCAGCAGUGGGGAAUAUUGGACAAUGGGGGCAACCCUGAUCCAGCAAUACCGCGUGUGUGAAGAAGGCCUGAGGGUUGUAAAGCACUUUCAAUUGUGAAGAAAAGUUAGCGGUUAAUAACCGUUAGCCUUGACGUUAACUUUAGAAGAAGCACCGGCUAACUCCGUGCCAGCAGCCGCGGUAAUACGGAGGGUGCAAGCGUUAAUCGGAAUUACUGGGCGUAAAGCGUGCGUAGGCGGUUUAUUAAGUCAGAUGUGAAAGCCCCGGGGCUUAACCUGGGAACUGCAUUUGAAACUGGUCAACUAGAGUAUGGUAGAGGAAAGUGGAAUUUCUGGUGUAGCGGUGAAAUGCGUAGAUAUCAGAAGGAACAUCAAUGGCGAAGGCAGCUUUCUGGACCAAUACUGACGCUGAGGUACGAAAGCGUGGGUAGCAAACAGGAUUAGAUACCCUGGUAGUCCACGCCGUAAACGAUGAUAACUAGCCGUUGGGGGGAUUUACCCUUUAGUGGCGAAGCUAACGCGUUAAGUUAUCCGCCUGGGGAGUACGGCCGCAAGGUUAAAACUCAAAGGAAUUGACGGGGACCCGCACAAGCGGUGGAGCAUGUGGUUUAAUUCGAUGCAACGCGAAGAACCUUACCUGGUCUUGACAUCCUGCGAACUUUCUAGAAAUAGAUUGGUGCCUUCGGGAACGCAGUGACAGGUGCUGCAUGGCUGUCGUCAGCUCGUGUCGUGAGAUGUUGGGUUAAGUCCCGUAACGAGCGCAACCCCUAUCCUUAUUUGCCAGCACAUCAUGGUGGGAACUAUAAGGAGACUGCCGGUGAUAAACCGGAGGAAGGCGGGGACGACGUCAAGUCAUCAUGGCCCUUACGACCAGGGCUACACACGUGCUACAAUGGGAAGGACAAAGAGCCGCGAAGCCGCGAGGUGUAGCUAAUCUCAUAAACCUUUUCGUAGUCCGGAUUGGAGUCUGCAACUCGACUCCAUGAAGUCGGAAUCGCUAGUAAUCGUAGAUCAGAAUGCUACGGUGAAUACGUUCCCGGGUCUUUGUACACACCGCCCG